This 262-nucleotide ribosomal RNA is filed under the name Klebsiella pneumoniae. Its description in RNAcentral is "partial 23S ribosomal RNA". It matches the Rfam family "Bacterial large subunit ribosomal RNA", at positions 2669 to 2925 of the family's 2925-position model. Lineage: Bacteria; Pseudomonadati; Pseudomonadota; Gammaproteobacteria; Enterobacterales; Enterobacteriaceae. The record is from RNAcentral.
GGGCUGCUCCUAGUACGAGAGGACCGGAGUGGACGCAUCACUGGUGUUCGGGUUGUCAUGCCAAUGGCACUGCCCGGUAGCUAAAUGCGGAAGAGAUAAGUGCUGAAAGCAUCUAAGCACGAAACUUGCCCCGAGAUGAGUUCUCCCUGAGACUUUAAGUCUCCUGAAGGAACGUUAAAGACGAUGACGUUGAUAGGCCGGGUGUGUAAGCGCAGCGAUGCGUUGAGCUAACCGGUACUAAUGAACCGUGAGGCUUAACCUU